GCUUGUUCUCGGGGGGGCGGGGGGGUGAAACUCCCCACCGGCGGUAUGAAGCGAUAGUUUCGAGCCCGCGAGCGCCUGAACACAUGCCGAUUCGGUUAUGGUUCAGGGUCAGCAGAUCCGGUGAGAUGCCGGAGCCGACGGUUAAAGUCCGGAUGGAAGAGAGCGAUU
Molecule: non-coding RNA, 168 nt
Filed under: Brucella intermedia
Lineage: Bacteria; Pseudomonadati; Pseudomonadota; Alphaproteobacteria; Hyphomicrobiales; Brucellaceae
Also listed under: 1 other name
Description: Ochrobactrum intermedium FMN sequence
Rfam family: FMN riboswitch aptamer (RFN element)
About the family: The RFN element is a highly conserved domain that is found frequently in the 5'-untranslated regions of prokaryotic mRNAs that encode for flavin mononucleotide (FMN) biosynthesis and transport proteins. This element is a metabolite-dependent riboswitch that directly binds FMN in the absence of proteins.
Source: RNAcentral